Long non-coding RNA from Patella vulgata (common limpet), 488 nucleotides. RefSeq lists it as uncharacterized. Lineage: Eukaryota; Metazoa; Mollusca; Gastropoda; Patellidae. The record is from RefSeq and is a predicted model, not a curated record. The transcript is spliced from 3 exons.
CAGAUUAUACCAUGCCUGUAUCAAUGGCUUGGGAAAUAGUUGAUACUAUACCCGCUUCACCGUUACCUGUACCAGACAUAAAUGGAUUACCAUAUUGCUCACGGUAUGCCGUAACAGCCCCAGUACCAGAAUCUGUAUCUAUUAAUGAUCUAGCCUAUACCCUAGACUGUGCUGACCCGGAUGGGGACACACUUACGUAUAAAAUAAUUCGCGGAGAUCCGUUUAAAAAGUUUAAAAUGGAGGGAGAAUUAAUGAAAUUAAAUAAAGAACUGAAUGCAGAUACCAGAGAUAGCUUUCAUGUACGAAUAACCGCCACUGAUGAUAGUACUAUGGCAUUUGUUUCCACGGUAACAGUAGCUAUACGUAUUACUAAUAUCAAUGACAAUGCCCCGUACAUCGUGGGUUUGCCCGCGACCAUUGAAGUCAGCGAGAAUGAACCAUUUGGUGCCGCGUAUAGUAUUUGUAACGUCACUGAUAAAGACUCCGCC